CUUUAGUUGAGAGACGAUAAGUUCAAGGUGCCCAGAAGUAGAAGGGGGUAAGUUCAGCUUACACAGCACUAGACCAUGAACCUAAACCAGAAGAAUAUAAGCCCAUCCCUAUCAAGCCCAAACUUGAUAUCGAACAAUUACCAUUUCAUUUAUCAGCAAGAAUUCUCCUUGUACUCUCCUUCCAUCUAGCAGUCCAGUUCAAGAGCGUAUGCCACCGUGACAGAAUCUUAUUUUGGAGAAUAUAGAUGUGAAGCUAAUGACCAAAGUUGUCUACCAACCAAUAACAGUUGUUAUCUCAAUUCGUCCUGAAAAGGGGGACUCGAGCAGUACUGUCGGAAAUGAUGGUUGUUCAGCAGGAGUCUAUGAUAGAGGGUUAUUAGCUUGAAGUUCUAUGAUUUCAUAGGUACCGUUUGGUCUGAUCAUGGUAACUGAGGCAAGACUUCUCAAAAUUAGUGUUGGGCAGUUAGGAAGUUAAUUCUUCCAUGCGAUUUAAUUCGAGACAGCAAGGUGAUUCGUCUAGAUCCCCAUCAGAUAAACAUUCCAGGGCCUAGGCCUAUUAUGAUGGCAAAUAUAUUAAAGCAACUGUUGUGAUGCAAGACAAUUUAAAAAGUAAAUAGCUUCUCACUCUUGUGUUAACAUCAAGCCACCUGCUUUGAUGAAAAAUUUGCCCUCUUAUUACCCCUAGAAUAUGCAUUUGUGAUUAGGGCUGUAUACCAAUCAACUCACAGCCUCAGAUUGAUAUAUGUGGAAGAUCAGACUUCUUACGCUGCCCAAUACUAAUAUUAACCAGGAAGUCCAACCUAUCUAUUGCCAUGAUCAAACCAAAAUAGAUACCAGCAAAAUCAUAGAAUUUCAAGCGUAUAAUCUAUUGGCAGCCUCUUGCAAAUGAGAGAUAGUUCACCAAAAGUCUGCUUAUAGUAGGUUAAUAAUCAUCAUAGGUGGGUGGACAACUUCGGGUGUUAACUUUUUUCUGAACUCCUAGAUAAAAUUAUGCCAUCACCGUCACACACUCCUGAACUGGACUACUAGCCAGGAAAGAGGAUGGGAGUAGUAUUCUUGCUAAUACAUGGAAUAAUAAUUUUUCAAUUUCAGGUUCAGGGUUGAGUUAGGUUAGGGGUAGGCUGGAUACUGAAAUAGGGCUCGAAUUCACGGUGUGUGUGCGUGUGCACGUGCUAGGGUACUUGACAAAUGGUAAAGUUUAUUAUUACAAAGAAGUAGAGGUUAUACUUCAGUAUAUUGUGCACGUGCAAAGGUACUUGACAAAUGGUAAAGUUCAUUAUUACAAAGAAGUAGAGGUUAUACUUUAGUAUAUGAUAUAGAUUGAUUUGUAAUUUUUUCAUCUUCGCUUUAUAGAUUUAAUUAUUGACUUCCAUACGUGAUCAAUUUCAGCCUAUGCACACUACUCCGGGAUAGUAAUUUAUGUUUUAGCUGCAAAGUUCACAAUACCAAAGAAAAUUUUAUUUAUUAAUCCCUUCCGCACAAAGACAUUGUCUACUGAUUCAUAGAUAAAGAGUAGAGAAGUGGACUUUAUAUAUGAAAUUGAGAUGGAGGGAGCAUAAAAGAUUUUGGCAAUAGAAGUACAAUAAUCUCAGACAUGUUGCACUUACUAGAUUAAAAAUGCGCAUAAAGAAU
Molecule: long non-coding RNA, 1632 nt
Filed under: Daucus carota (carrot)
Lineage: Eukaryota; Viridiplantae; Streptophyta; Magnoliopsida; Apiales; Apiaceae
Description: long non-coding RNA (DCAR_LNC003361)
Source: RNAcentral